GCUGUCCAGAUCCCUGUGGAAACCUUCUGAUUUGUGUCUCCUUCCUGGCUUACAUCCCCUUCUUACUGUUUGGGAACAGAGUUGUAACCAGACUCCUCUAAGAUAUCUAAAGCCUUGGAAGGACGAGGCCAUGUGAGAUCAAGGUCAACAUGCAGCCCUAAACAAGUGCCAAGCUGAUAUCCACCCUUCACUUUGCUUCAUCUAACAGUGUAAGAACUUGAGCAUCAGUUGCCCUUUAUGCUGCUGCGGGAGAAUAAAGUACGAGUUACUUGGAAGACAAAGGGGACUACAGCACAGGAGAUCCCAAAGGUCUUAGGUGGCCGUCUGUGAGUUUCACUCCUCAUCUAGCCCUUUCUGUGAUGAAGAAUAAUAAGAGAGUAGACAAAGAGAGAUGGAUUAGU
This is a long non-coding RNA of Epinephelus fuscoguttatus (brown-marbled grouper), 401 nucleotides long. RefSeq lists it as uncharacterized. NCBI's taxonomy places the organism in Eukaryota, Metazoa, Chordata, Actinopteri, Perciformes, Serranidae. The transcript is spliced from 3 exons. The record is from RefSeq and is a predicted model, not a curated record.